ACACGACUACAUUAGAUACCCGCGUAGUCCAGGGUGUAAACGCUGCGGGCUUGGUGUUGGGGGUCCUUUGAGGGCGCCCAGUGCCGGAGAGAAGUUGUUAAGCCUGCUGCUUGGGGAGUACGUCCGCAAGGCUGAAACUUAAAGGAAUUGGCGGGGAGCACCGCAACGGGAGGAGCGUGCGGUUUAAUUGGAUUCAACACCGUAAACUCACCAGGGAAGACUGUUACAUGAAGGCCGAGAUGAAGACUCUGCUAGAUUUUCAG
RNAcentral lists this ribosomal RNA (263 nucleotides) under uncultured archaeon. RNAcentral's name for it is "partial 16S ribosomal RNA". It matches the Rfam family "Archaeal small subunit ribosomal RNA", at positions 717 to 982 of the family's 1478-position model. The record is from RNAcentral.